UGGACUUCAGCAAUACCAGGCGCAGAAGC
This 29-nucleotide small RNA is filed under the name Bombyx mori (domestic silkworm). RNAcentral's name for it is "ovarian small RNA-34588". The record is from RNAcentral. Lineage: Eukaryota; Metazoa; Arthropoda; Insecta; Lepidoptera; Bombycidae.